RNAcentral lists this transfer RNA (73 nucleotides) under Nocardioides sp. RNAcentral describes it as "tRNA-Thr". It matches the Rfam family "tRNA". From Rfam's summary of the family: Transfer RNA (tRNA) molecules are approximately 80 nucleotides in length. Their secondary structure includes four short double-helical elements and three loops (D, anti-codon, and T loops). The record is from RNAcentral. Lineage: Bacteria; Bacillati; Actinomycetota; Actinomycetes; Propionibacteriales; Nocardioidaceae.
GCCGCGUUAGCUCAGUUGGCAGAGCAUCGCUCUUGUAAAGCGAAUGUCGAGAGUUCGAAUCUCUCACGCGGCU